GUUUAAGCUGUCAAGCACACGUACUCAUGAGAUAAAUCUAACGAGUGUAAAUCGUUAAUGCUAGUAUUAUUAAAUGAAGAUAAUAUUUUGACAAAUCAUCAAAAAAAAUCCUAUGAAAAAAGAAAAUUCAAUGUCUAACUUUGCAGCGGAGGUCGAUAAUUCAAUUUAGUCUUUGCCUUGGGUCCAAACUGAUUUUCAUGAAGCCACAUAUCGGAUUGGGCUUGUUCACCAGCUAUAUUAGUAAUAUUAGAUAUAUUUCCAUUGAUAAUAUUCAGUGCUGGCUAGGAAUCUUUCAAUUUUACUUGCCUGAUCACAUUGCCUUACAAACCACGUGUGUCGUCCUCGUGUAUGGGGUCUACAUGUACUAUCAACGGGAGUCACAUUUUCAAAAAUAAUUAAAAUGUCUUUUAAAAACAGCAAAUAUUCACAUAAAAUUGUUAAAAGUCUCAUAAUAAUCUUUUUAUGGUCACUCCACCAUGUAACGAUAUCGCCUCAUCGUUAUUAUAGGUUUUGGGUUGAGACUAGCUCAAGCAAUAAAAACACGUCUUACGUUGACGAC
RNAcentral lists this long non-coding RNA (559 nucleotides) under Mytilus galloprovincialis (Mediterranean mussel). The record is from RNAcentral. Lineage: Eukaryota; Metazoa; Mollusca; Bivalvia; Mytilida; Mytilidae.